RNAcentral lists this transfer RNA (54 nucleotides) under Radula complanata. RNAcentral describes it as "partial tRNA-Phe". The record is from RNAcentral. Lineage: Eukaryota; Viridiplantae; Streptophyta; Jungermanniopsida; Radulales; Radulaceae.
GCCGGAAUAGCUCAGUUGGUAGAGCAGGGGAUGAAAAUCCUCGUGUCACCAGUU